RNAcentral lists this long non-coding RNA (494 nucleotides) under Brachypodium distachyon (stiff brome). RNAcentral describes it as "long non-coding RNA (BDIS_LNC001665)". Lineage: Eukaryota; Viridiplantae; Streptophyta; Magnoliopsida; Poales; Poaceae. The record is from RNAcentral.
ACAAUUGCAUAUUUGAAUUCAAUUUUUGAAUCUCAAAAGGGCUCUAAAAGACUUGGUUUACACCCAUUUAAGCUUUCGAUUUUCAAACCAAUAGGGUUCAUGUAUAAAAGGGGUUUAAUGCAUAUAUAAGCUAUCCCAUAAUUUUUGGUUAAUUAUUUGGAGUUGAAAAAGUUUUUGAUUCAAAUAGAUAUAUGGCCCUAAAGGCCUUUAUAGGGCAAAUGUAUUUUUACAUAUUUUAUUUUGAAGAGAAACUACUUCCAAAAGUUGUAUCUUGGUAGAACAUGAUUUUACAAAUUUUCUGGAAUUUAUUUGGACCAAUUUGGAGUUCAAACUCAAAAGAUAUCAAAGAAAUGAGAAAAACAGAAAAAGAAAAGGUCUAAAAGAAAAAAAAAGGUAAACCGGACCGGCCCGGCCACUUUGGGCCGAACCGGCCCAGUCCGACCGCGCACGACCGGCCCAGACCGCCCGGUCCACGUGCGCGCGCCCGCAGUCGC